UAUCUGAACCCAUGAAACAGCCUUCU
This 26-nucleotide non-coding RNA is filed under the name Mus musculus (house mouse). Lineage: Eukaryota; Metazoa; Chordata; Mammalia; Rodentia; Muridae. The record is from RNAcentral.